AGCUGUGAGGGCAAUCUGGCUGUGAAGUGUGUGCUGAUUUGGCUAACCUGGCUGGUUAGGCAGGGGUUGCUUUUCUCCAUUACUUCCCCUCCCCCAAAGCUACAUACCCAGUUGAGUCAAUACUUCCAGAUAGAUACAGGUCCACUCUUGAGUCAAGGGUAUAUAAAUAGUGGAAGUCCCCUGCUAGAACCACCAAACAAAUUCUCAAAGGCAUGGUAGUUUUCCUUUAGGCUGUUCUUUUUACCUUCUUCUUUGUCACAAGGCUGGAGCCCAGU
This 275-nucleotide small RNA is filed under the name Mus caroli (Ryukyu mouse). RNAcentral's name for it is "sRNA (MGP_CAROLIEiJ_G0008597.1)". The record is from RNAcentral. Lineage: Eukaryota; Metazoa; Chordata; Mammalia; Rodentia; Muridae.